This is a non-coding RNA of Physeter macrocephalus (sperm whale), 73 nucleotides long. The record is from the annotation of a RefSeq genome assembly. NCBI's taxonomy places the organism in Eukaryota, Metazoa, Chordata, Mammalia, Artiodactyla, Physeteridae.
UCCCUGGUGGUUCAGUGGGUAAGACUCUGCACUUCUAAUGCAGGGGGUCCGAGUUCGAUCCCCGGUCAGGGAA